UAUCUAUCCAGAGCGACCGAGAGAUCUGGCUCUUAGACGUCGCAGCAACCUCGCCAGCCUCCACCCAUGGGGUGGACGGACAAGGUGCUCCCGCCAGAACCGAUAGAAG
This 109-nucleotide non-coding RNA is filed under the name Rothia dentocariosa. RNAcentral's name for it is "SAM-I sequence". It matches the Rfam family "SAM riboswitch aptamer (S box leader)". From Rfam's summary of the family: The SAM riboswitch is found upstream of a number of genes which code for proteins involved in methionine or cysteine biosynthesis in Gram-positive bacteria. Lineage: Bacteria; Bacillati; Actinomycetota; Actinomycetes; Micrococcales; Micrococcaceae. The record is from RNAcentral.